This 484-nucleotide ribosomal RNA is filed under the name uncultured bacterium. Its description in RNAcentral is "partial 16S ribosomal RNA". It matches the Rfam family "Bacterial small subunit ribosomal RNA", at positions 28 to 523 of the family's 1533-position model. The record is from RNAcentral.
GACGAACGCUGGCGGCGUGCUUAACACAUGCAAGUCGAACGAUGAAGCCGGAGCUUGCUCUGGUGAAUUAGUGGCGAACGGGUGAGUAACACGUGAGUAACCUGCCCUUGACUCUGGGAUAACUGCGGGAAACUGUAGCUAAUACCGGAUACGACCCUCGGAGGCAUCUCCUGGGGGUGGAAAGAAUUUCGGUCAAGGAUGGACUCGCGGCCUAUCAGCUAGUUGGUGAGGUAAAGGCUCACCAAGGCGACGACGGGUAGCCGGCCUGAGAGGGUGACCGGCCACACUGGGACUGAGACACGGCCCAGACUCCUACGGGAGGCAGCAGGGGGGAAUAUUGGACAAUGGGCGAAAGCCUGAUCCAGCAACGCCGCGUGAGGGAUGACGGCCUUCGGGUUGUAAACCUCUUUCAGUACCGACGAAGCGCAAGUGACGGUAGGUACAGAAGAAGCACCGGCUAACCACGUGCCAGCCGCCGCCGUAA